GGGCAGGUUCGUGUCCAGCUCUACGAACGGCAUGUCCGGCGGGAGAGUGAGGAGGGCAGGCCGGGAGAGGACGCGCCGAGUCCUCAGACUCCCAGCGGUCCUGGACCAAGGCUCUCUUCUAUGGCCUGGGAAAGCAGCAGAAGAUGGCCCAAGUCCUUGGGCCCCUGCACCCACAUGGGAGAUCUGGAAGAAGCUCCUGGCUCCUGGCUUCAGAUCAGCAUAACUCUGGUUGUGCAGUCAGUGGGGGAAUGACCCAGCAGAUGGAAGACACCCCCCCCACCUCUCCUCUCUGUGUGUAACUCUUUCAAAUAAACAAAUAAAUAUUAAAAGAAAAAAAA
Molecule: non-coding RNA, 338 nt
Organism: Oryctolagus cuniculus (rabbit)
Lineage: Eukaryota; Metazoa; Chordata; Mammalia; Lagomorpha; Leporidae
Source: RefSeq, a predicted model, not a curated record